UUUGAUCAAUAACUAAAGUAAAGUAAUUCAUUACUUUUUGGAAGUAUUUUACCCAACACUAUUCAUGGACUUACUUUUCCUGAAAUUCCUUAGGACUCUGUCAGCCACAUUCUGUACGCUUUCUGAAUCAUUUCCUUUCAAUUUUCUACUUAAACACAGAUGUGCAGAUUUACACUGAUAGUCAGUUUUACUCAUGAGGAUAUUAGCAGCAGAUACGCCUGGCAUGACUUUGGCUUUCCAGAUGGAUUAACAUAGAUCUGCAGUACAGCAGUUAUGUGUGAUGAAGCAGAUGAAAACACCCAUCCAGGUGGUAUUGCAACAGAGCCAGCUUUUCACUUUACUAAAGCGCAGUGGGGCGACAGUGGCUCAGGUGGUUGAGCGGGUCGUCCAAUGAUCGAAGGGUUGGCGGUUCGAUCCCCGCUCCCUCCAGCCAACUGUCGUUGUGUCCUUGGGCAAGACACUUCACCCUCCUUGCCUCCAGUGUGGCUCCACUGGUGUAUGAAUGAUCCCGGUGAUGGUCAGAGGGGCCGUAGGCACGAAAUGGCAGCCACGCCUCUGUCAGUCUGCCCCAGGGCAGCUGUGGCUACAACCGUAGCUACCAUCACCAAGUAUGAAUGAGGAGUGAAUGAAUAAUGGACAUAAUGUAAGCGCUUUGGGUGUCUUGAAAAGCGCAGAUAAAUCCAAUCCAUUAUUAUUAUUAUUAUGUAAAUGUAAGUUAUCACAAUGCUGAUUGGUAUAUCAAGCAGACAUUAGCCCUCAUGUGCUGCUGACUUGUGUCCUGCUCGUCCUCUGCAAAAGCUCCAACCCCCCUUUCUUCCUGAAUAGCAUGUGUGCAGAAAAUGGAUGGGUUAAUGGGGGAAGCAUGGACAGGCAUCAUACAGUCCCAUCUUCCACGUCUCCCACAAGCAGACAAGCUGAUGGCUCAGAUAUGUCCUUCAAACCACUUUUCCAUUGUUCCUUAGGGAAUAACAUGCUGAGUUCAGGAUUGACUGAAACUACCAAGGCCUGGAACCGCCACAUAAGGCAAAGAAAGCAGCACAGAGACAGAGAUGGAUCCAGAGAACAUGACCUUGACAAAGAAAGCAUGAGAGAGAGAAACAGAGAAAAGCAGUCCUCCUCCUCACGCCACAGGAGGUCUUCCACGACACAUUCUCAUAAAUAUUCACGAGUGAAGGAGCAAACAAAGGCCAGGAGCUCCAAGGAUGAGAGCCACAGAUGCUGCAGCUUCAAAGACAUCAUGGGAGAAAACAGAAGGAAAGACAGAAGCUGGAAGCCUGACAGAGUUUCACACAGCAGCACUCAGAGAAGCUGCAGCAGGAAAUGUGAAGAUAAGACCAAGGUAAAAGAUGCAAAAAGAAGAAAAAACAAGACGUAA
RNAcentral lists this long non-coding RNA (1375 nucleotides) under Oryzias sinensis (Chinese medaka). RNAcentral describes it as "lncRNA (ENSOSIG00000020277.1)". Lineage: Eukaryota; Metazoa; Chordata; Actinopteri; Beloniformes; Adrianichthyidae. The record is from RNAcentral.